This 465-nucleotide ribosomal RNA is filed under the name Vreelandella stevensii. RNAcentral describes it as "partial 16S ribosomal RNA". It matches the Rfam family "Bacterial small subunit ribosomal RNA", at positions 338 to 795 of the family's 1533-position model. The record is from RNAcentral. Lineage: Bacteria; Pseudomonadati; Pseudomonadota; Gammaproteobacteria; Oceanospirillales; Halomonadaceae.
CCUACGGGUGGCAGCAGUGGGGAAUAUUGGACAAUGGGGGCAACCCUGAUCCAGCCAUGCCGCGUGUGUGAAGAAGGCCCUCGGGUUGUAAAGCACUUUCAGUGAGGAAGAACGCCUGGUGGUUAAUACCCAUCAGGAAAGACAUCACUCACAGAAGAAGCACCGGCUAACUCCGUGCCAGCAGCCGCGGUAAUACGGAGGGUGCGAGCGUUAAUCGGAAUUACUGGGCGUAAAGCGCGCGUAGGUGGCUUGAUAAGCCGGUUGUGAAAGCCCCGGGCUCAACCUGGGAACGGCAUCCGGAACUGUCAAGCUAGAGUGCAGGAGAGGAAGGUAGAAUUCCCGGUGUAGCGGUGAAAUGCGUAGAGAUCGGGAGGAAUACCAGUGGCGAAGGCGGCCUUCUGGACUGACACUGACACUGAGGUGCAAAAGCGUGGGUAGCAAACAGGAUUAGAUACCCUUGUAGUC